RNAcentral lists this ribosomal RNA (980 nucleotides) under uncultured marine Syndiniales. Its description in RNAcentral is "bacterial SSU rRNA". It matches the Rfam family "Eukaryotic small subunit ribosomal RNA", at positions 1 to 1026 of the family's 1831-position model. The record is from RNAcentral. Lineage: Eukaryota; Dinophyceae; Syndiniales.
ACCUGGUUGAUCCUGCCAGUAGUCAUAUGCUUGUUUCAAAGAUUAAGCCAUGCAUGUCUCAGUAUACGUUCUCGUACUGCAAAACUGCGAAUGGGUCAUUAAAACAGUUAUAGUUUGCUUGACAAUCGAUCACUAUAUGGAUAUCCAUAGUAAUUCUAGAGCUAAUACAUGCGCACCAACCCGACUCACCGAAGGGCUGUGCUUAUUAGAUACCGAACCAACCCAGGCCAUCCUGGUGCCAGUUGAUUCAUGAUACCCAAACGGAUCGCACGGGUCGCCCGGGGACGAGUCACUCAAGUUUCUGACCUAUUCCCUUUCCCACCGGGGGGGAUUGGGUUACCCGGGGUUUGACGGGUAACGGGGAAUUAGGGUUCGGUUCCGGAGAGGGAGCCUGAGAAACGGGUACCACAUCUAAGGAAGGGAGCAGGGGCGCAAAUUACCCAAUCCUGACACAGGGAGGUAGUGACAAUAAAUACCAAUACAAGACUCUUACGUUUUGUAAUUGGAAUGAGAAGAACUCAAACCGCUUUCCGAGUAACAAUUGGAGGGCAAGUCUGGGGCCAGCAGCCGCGGUAAUUCCAGCUCCAAUAGCGUAUAUUAAAGUUGUUGCGGUUAAAACGCUCGUAGUUGGGUUUCUGUCAGGAACACCGGUCUGUCCUGAGUGUCAAGUUACUGGCUUGGCCGCCUGGGAUCUUCUUGGGGAACGGGUGCGCCCUUCACUGUGCGACCCGGAACCUUUGACGUUUACUUUGAGAAUGAGAGUGCUUCAGGCGGGUGUUCCUCACGAAUAUGUUAGCAUGGAUAUAGUGUCGGACUCGAUUCCGUUGUUGGUGCUGGGAUUGGGUGAGGUAACAGGACGGUGGGGCAUCGUAUUUACUGUCGAGGUGCACUCUGGAUUGUUAAGACGACUACUGCUAAGCCUGGCCAGGACGUUUCAUGAUCAGACGAAGUCAGGAUUCAGACAUCGAUGCGUCUAGUCU